GGAGGGAUCGCAUAGUGGCCUAGUGCGGGCGCCUGCUAAGCGCUUACCCUGUUAAUACGGGGUCGAGGGUUCGAAUCCCUCUCCCUCCG
This 89-nucleotide transfer RNA is filed under the name Dehalococcoidia bacterium. Its description in RNAcentral is "tRNA-Ser". It matches the Rfam family "tRNA". Rfam says of the family: Transfer RNA (tRNA) molecules are approximately 80 nucleotides in length. Their secondary structure includes four short double-helical elements and three loops (D, anti-codon, and T loops). Further hydrogen bonds mediate the characteristic L-shaped molecular structure. tRNAs have two regions of fundamental functional importance: the anti-codon, which is responsible for specific mRNA codon recognition, and the 3' end, to which the tRNAs corresponding amino acid is attached (by aminoacyl-tRNA synthetases). tRNAs cope with the degeneracy of the genetic code in two manners: having more than one tRNA (with a specific anti-codon) for a particular amino acid; and 'wobble' base-pairing, i.e. permitting non-standard base-pairing at the 3rd anti-codon position. The record is from RNAcentral. Lineage: Bacteria; Bacillati; Chloroflexota; Dehalococcoidia.